CGCGUAGGCGGCCUGGUAAGUCUGGAGUGAAAGUCCUGCUUUUAAGGUGGGAAUUGCUUUGGAUACUGCUGGGCUUGAGUGCAGGAGAGGUAAGUGGAAUUCCCGGUGUAGCGGUGAAAUGCGUAGAGAUCGGGAGGAACACCAGUGGCGAAGGCGACUUACUGGACUGUAACUGACGCUGAGGCGCGAAAGUGUGGGGAAGCAAACA
This 208-nucleotide ribosomal RNA is filed under the name uncultured bacterium. RNAcentral's name for it is "partial 16S ribosomal RNA". It matches the Rfam family "Bacterial small subunit ribosomal RNA", at positions 568 to 774 of the family's 1533-position model. The record is from RNAcentral.